ACCUUUUAGUAUACUCAGAAAAAUCAUUAUUAAUAGGCUAAAUUACAAAAAAUCUUUUUGUUAAUACCUGCUUUUCUUACUUUUCUCUCCUGUCAUUCAAAAACCUACCUUACCCCCUUAAAAAAUUAAAAAUGUUCACUUUGACCUAUAUUGACCGUGUUUUGUUAGGAUUCCGUUUAUAUCCUAUCUUUAUAACCAAAAUAUCCCCGAAACCUUUCUCCUUCCUCAUCCUCAGCAGCACCGCCUCUCCCUCGCCCACCUCUCUGUCCAUGCCCACACACACGCCCUCACCUGCCUCCGCCGCCUCGCCCUCGCCCUCGCCCAUCUCUUCGUCCACACCCACCCCGAAGAAAAUAAGGGGUAAUUUAAUCAUUUUGUCGCAACGUACCCUUCUGUGAACAUUUUUUUACUUUUUUAAGAGAAUAAAAUAUAGGUUUUUGAAUGACAUAAGGGAAAAGUGAAAAAACGGAUAUUGACAGAGAGGUUUCUCUAAUUUAGCUUUAAUAAUAUGUUGAGGAAUAAUAGAAUUUU
RNAcentral lists this long non-coding RNA (531 nucleotides) under Ananas comosus (pineapple). Its description in RNAcentral is "long non-coding RNA (ACOM_LNC021490)". Lineage: Eukaryota; Viridiplantae; Streptophyta; Magnoliopsida; Poales; Bromeliaceae. The record is from RNAcentral.